UUCAAAACAACUGGAUGCUAAUCACCCCUCUGCCACCAUCACACGUGCCCACAAAAAUCCCACUCCCUCGUGUGGAAAUGGGGCUGGACCCUGCGCAUCUGGAAGUGACUGAGAAUCCAGUGAUUACAUCUCAAAUUGCAGGUGCUUUUCCCAUGCUGGUGUGGGGUCAUGCAUCUGCUCUAUUUCCAUGCUAUGUAUACCUGCGUAUACAGUUACUGCUUAAUCAAUGCAGACGCUCACGAAGCAAGGCUGUGGCCUGGCAAGGGCGGGCACGCGGACUCUGCCGAGGCACUCAAAGGCUGCACCGUUGGAAAGGUGGGAGGCUACAGAGAAGAGUGGAAGAGCUUCCCCUGAGGACACUCACAGGGGAGUGGAGACUGGGAACGCACCAGCAGGGCCUGCAAACAGCACCACAGCUUCCUGCCAGCCACAGAUGUAGCUGGACAGUGUGCUCGACCUGAAAUGCCCAGCAGACAGCCUGGAACAGAAACCCGGCUGCAACCCAAGCCAGCACACAUGGGGAGACAGAGCUGUCGGCCAGCUCCCUGAGCUCAGCAGGGCUCUGUGGUGGAGCCUGCACAUGGUGAGAAUCUUGCCAAGCCUGGUCCACGACACGGCAGAUCGGAAAGUGACGUGGAGAGGGAAAGGUCAGGCGGCCGGACCUCCUGCGGCUGGGAGCAGGUGGCUGCUCGAGCCAGAGGGCCAAGUGGCUCAGCUCACAGGCCCAGGUAGUAGCAGUGACUCUGUCGAUCAUCACAGGCCCUGGCUGCAAGCGCCGAGAAGGCAAGUGUGGUCCCCCACUGUCAUGGCUGGGACACUCCAGGAAACUGCUCUGAUCCAGGACACACUUCUGCCACUAUGACGUUCUGCCUCGUAACAGGCCCAGAAGUACGGAGCUAAGUGACAGAGACUGGACCUUCUGAAACCCUAAGUCAACGCAAUUCCCCACCCCAACCCCCCAAAGCUGUUCUCCAUCAGGCAUUUUGGAACAAUCAUGUAAAGGUGACAAACACAAUACUCAUUCUGUGACUUUACGCUCUGUGACGUCUGAAGUCCCCUGCGUGACCUCCUCACAUCUGAGGAAAGCAGCCCCAAGAGAAUCAAGGACACUGUCACGGGAGAGAGGGGCUGGCACCGCUCACUCCGCCCAUAUGGGCACGGCAGCCUCACACAGCACCAGGAUGAGCACUGAGGCCCUCCCACUAACAGCCCUGUGUGGGAAGGACGUGCCGCAAAGCUCUUCCAGACAGCAGCUGGCAGGGGGAGGGCCAGGCUGCCCUGUGUUCUCAGCGAGGCUCUCCAUGACCAUUCCAGAUGUGCUUGCACAUGGCAGCUGCACCCCUUGUCCAGCUGGGGACACAGAAAUGGAAGAGUCUGUAGCGUAGCACACUGGGUUCCUCUGCUCCCUACACCGGACUGUCCAGGGUGCUGUGGCUUUCCAGUUUAUGGACCAGCUGUCACUCACAGCCAGUCAGCAGCCCGAAGCCAGCAUUCGGGGUCCACUUCCAACUUGACAUCGAACAAAUGAAGGUCUGGGGAGACGGCUCAGGAGUUAAGUGCCUUUGGGAAGCCAGCUUGAGAGCCCGAGUUCAAAUCUCUGGCACUCACGUAAGAAAGGCUGGGUGUGGCUGCACUCAGGCCCGUAACCUCAGCGCCGGGAUGGAGACAGGCUUCCCGGCUGACAGCCUCACUCUGGCUUUAGUGAGGGACUCUGUAUUAGAGGAAUAGCGUGGACAAUGACGACAUAGCAGGGCAUCUGACAGCUUCCUCUGGCCUCUGUGUAUGAGCCUGGACGUGUGGAACUCCAUCCACACGGACGCACAUGCUACACACACACACACACACACACACACACACACACACACACACAUACACACACACAUCGAACAAAUGGGCCUUGUUUCUUCUUUCUUUAAGUGACCUCACCACCAAAGCGAUCCUGUUGUGGUUUGGAAAAAGCAGCAUUUCCUGGCCAGGCUCAGCCCAAAGUCAGCAAGUGCCGCUGGGCUCUGGCCGAGUGGCAGCCCAGAGCAGGGAGAGCCAGGCACAAUGCUCAUCCUGGGGGCUUUAUCUCAGCAAGGCCUGUGACAUCCUGCUAUAUAGGAUUUGUGAUAUAUAUAUGCAACCUUAUAAAAACAGAGACCUCUAAGCCAUAAUCGAUGAGUGAGGCUGAGCCCGACCACAGGCUGGCGCUGGGGGUGAGUGAGAUAUGAACAACUCACGUUUUUAUUAUCUGCAAGUUCUUCGCAGGGCCACUGAGGGCACAGGCCUGUCUGUACAGGAAGAUAUGGUACAAUGUCUGACCUUGUUUGGGCUUAAAAGCCUCCAAGUAACUUGUCCCAGCACUUAGAGGUGCAUCAAAGCCAAAUGUCUCCAAAGACUGGGCCCCGAGCCACCAGGAGAGGAAAAGAGGCCAUGGGCUUGGCAGGAGUGUGUCAUCUGAGUGGAGGUUGGAACCAGGCCCUGGGGAGUGAAAUUGCUCUGAGGUGAGGACAAAGGUUUUCCUAUACCAUACUGCAGCCCAGCCUCACUCAGCUCUAUGGCUAUGAGGCCAUAUACUGUGCUGAGCCCUAGAGAGUAAGGCAUGGGUAGGAGGAAGAAUUUGGGGCUAAGUUGGGCAUAUUCUAUGAUUACUUAGAAAGAUUCUAGGAGCACCUCUUUGUCCCCCCACAUUUGUAAAGUGAGGAAAUAGGGCUCUGCAUGGACACACUUUUUCUAAAGGCAAAACCUCGACCCCUACGGACAAAGGGUGCAUCUGGCCCUUGGAGUCAGUGUGUGGGAACUGGAGAGUGGCACUCUCUCGGCUCAUAGGAUGGCUCAGCCUCCCUUCUGUCCUCCGUCCUCCAGUCUCAGAGGACCCAGAGGAGCCCUCGUGAACUUGUGAGUUCAGGGUUGAGGGGAGCCAGAGCCGGGCAGCACAGCGCAGAGCAGGUGCCCUGUCUCAGAUC
Non-coding RNA from Peromyscus maniculatus bairdii (prairie deer mouse), 2948 nucleotides. NCBI's taxonomy places the organism in Eukaryota, Metazoa, Chordata, Mammalia, Rodentia, Cricetidae. The record is from RefSeq and is a predicted model, not a curated record.